CUGAAGCUCCCUCUCUUCUCUAUUGCAGGGGAACAUCUCUCUGUUCAUGAAGCAUCGCCAACGCUAGCCCUUGUUGGCUUCUUGCCCAUGGCGACCGAGCAGGCGGGAGAAGGUUUUAUGUCCCGAUGACGACUAGGGCGCUUGUGAUGCUGUAAGUCCCAAUGCAAGGCAUGUCCACUUUUAUCCAUAUAAACUUUGGAAUGGCCAUCUAUUGUAAGAAUUUGCCUUAUACUGGUUUCAAUGAUCUUACAUGAGUGAAUUGUUCUUUAUAAUCCCCACUUGAUGAUGCUACAAGUUCAUCGGUUCUAUUUGAAUUUAUUUUCUAAUCUUGUAGCUAUCACUAAGAUUUGCAUGCUUGCGUUUUUUGAACCAUCAGCAGGUUGGCGUGACUGAUGAUGUAUAGCCAUUCCUGGGAUCUGGAAGAUUUGGUACUGAUUGGCCGAGUAGUAGGUCUCUUCAUGCAAGUUUUGUAAUUUACCAUUCCCAUAUUUGAUGGAGCAAGUGAAACAUAUUUCUUCAUAUUACCCAUAGUCACUAUAUCUGCUUAUCAGGCUUCACGAAAAACUCAGAUGAUACAUAUAAACUCCAGUGGAUAUAAAUGUCAUUUGUUAUUCUCUAAAUCGAAUUUAGCGGGAACUAAUUACAGUUUGUUAUUCUAUAAAUGUUGUUUGUUUUUCUAUAGCCAUCACCAAUACUAAAUUUUGUUUUCUAAUGAAAGAUCCUGGAAUUGUUAUGCAGAAUAGGCAAACUGUUCUCUUUUCUACCACACAGACUCAGGACGUUAGGGGAUCUAUUAUUCAGCCUAUUCAAAUUUUCCCCAAUUUUUUCGGCGGCAAUGCUUAUGUCGUGUCAUCCCACAGGUUGAAGAUUUUACAAAUUUUACGUUUGGGAAAAAGGAAGAGAAGACAACGAAAACUUGUUUAUGUUGGAGUAGAUGACUCUGAGUUAAAGGUAUGGAACUGCUUCACCCUGCUGUUCAACUUUCUUUUAAAGAUUUUUUGGUUUAUUUGGUAGUAUGAAAAAUAAUUGUGAUGCUCUUGCAACCUACCGCUGUAGCGCUGCAGCAGCGCUCUUCUUAAUUUCACUUAUUUGUCCGAUAUUAAACCUGUUUAGCUCAUGGAUGUGACAAUAUGUUUGCUGUUAUAGAAGGUGGGUGGACUCUCAGAAGGCCAUCUGAGGUUUCUGCAGCUGGCGGUGCCGGGCUUCCCAUUGCUGCAGGCACAACACUACAGGCAUUGGGGUCCAUUGGUGCCAAGUUUGCC
RNAcentral lists this long non-coding RNA (1262 nucleotides) under Hordeum vulgare. RNAcentral describes it as "long non-coding RNA (HVUL_LNC006602)". Lineage: Eukaryota; Viridiplantae; Streptophyta; Magnoliopsida; Poales; Poaceae. The record is from RNAcentral.